This 716-nucleotide ribosomal RNA is filed under the name uncultured Burkholderiales bacterium. Its description in RNAcentral is "bacterial SSU rRNA". It matches the Rfam family "Bacterial small subunit ribosomal RNA", at positions 69 to 780 of the family's 1533-position model. The record is from RNAcentral. Lineage: Bacteria; Pseudomonadati; Pseudomonadota; Betaproteobacteria; Burkholderiales.
GCAGCGCGGGAGCAAUCCUGGCGGCGAGUGGCGAACGGGUGAGUAAUAUAUCGGAACGUGCCCAGUAGUGGGGGAUAGCCCGGCGAAAGCCGGAUUAAUACCGCAUACGACCUGAGGGUGAAAGCGGGGGAUCGCAAGACCUCGCGCUACUGGAGCGGCCGAUAUCAGAUUAGCUAGUUGGUGGGGUAAAGGCCUACCAAGGCAACGAUCUGUAGUUGGUCUGAGAGGACGACCAGCCACACUGGGACUGAGACACGGCUCAGACUCCUACGGGAGGCAGCAGUGGGGAAUUUUGGACAAUGGGCGCAUGCCUGAUCCAGCAAUGCCGCGUGCAGGAAGAAGGCCUUCGGGUUGUAAACUGCUUUUGUCAGGGAAGAAAUCUUCUGGGCUAAUACCCCGGGAGGAUGACGGUACCUGGAGAAUAAGCACCGGCUAACUACGUGCCAGCAGCCGCGGUAAUACGUAGGGUGCGAGCGUUAAUCGGAAUUACUGGGCGUAAAGCGUGCGCAGGCGGCUUUGCAAGACAGAGGUGAAAUCCCCGGGCUCAACCUGGGAACUGCCUUUGUGACUGCAAGGCUAGAGUACGGCAGAGGGGGAUGGAAUUCCGCGUGUAGCAGUGAAAUGCGUAGAUAUGCGGAGGAACACCGAUGGCGAAGGCAAUCCCCUGGGCCUGUACUGACGCUCAUGCACGAAAGCGUGGGGAGCAAACAGGAUUA